This 301-nucleotide ribosomal RNA is filed under the name uncultured bacterium. RNAcentral describes it as "partial 16S ribosomal RNA". It matches the Rfam family "Bacterial small subunit ribosomal RNA", at positions 509 to 807 of the family's 1533-position model. The record is from RNAcentral.
CAGCCGCCGCGGUAAUACGAAGGGGGCUAGCGUUGCUCGGAAUUACUGGGCGUAAAGGGUGCGUAGGCGGACAGUUCAGUCGGGGGUGAAAGCCCGGGGCUCAACCUCGGAAUUGCCUUCGAUACUGGCUGUCUUGAGUAUGAGAGAGGUGUGUGGAACUCCGAGUGUAGAGGUGAAAUUCGUAGAUAUUCGGAAGAACACCAGUGGCGAAGGCGACACACUGGCUCAUUACUGACGCUGAGGCGCGAAAGCGUGGGGAGCAAACAGGAUUAGAUACCCCGGUAGUCCCUGUCUCUUAUAC